Strigops habroptila (Kakapo) is the source of this 364-nucleotide long non-coding RNA. RefSeq lists it as uncharacterized. The transcript has 2 exons. Lineage: Eukaryota; Metazoa; Chordata; Aves; Psittaciformes; Psittacidae. The record is from RefSeq and is a predicted model, not a curated record.
UUGAGUGGAUGCAGCCGCUCAUUCCUCAUGCUUUUUUUGGGUGACAGCCUCAGCUAUGGCAAGCUCAACAGGACUCUGCCAAUGGAGCUGCGUCAAUCUGGAAGUACUCCCUUGGAAACAAAGCUCAGCUGCAGCUGCCAGUUUGAAUCCAGCCCAGGUCUGCAGUGAAGGAUGCUGCUGGGUGCCUGUCCAGCGGUGUGUGCAAACCACGGCGUCUGGCUGCAGUCCCACUUCCUAUGGGGCAGGUGGCUGCAUCCCCUCCAUGGGCUUGGCACGCUCCCUGUGCCCUGUUCCAGAUGAGCAGCCAGCAACCAGCUUUUCCAGAAUAAAAGUCAUGUUCUUCGGAGUGUAAACCCCAGGAUAA